CUAUAAUGCAGUCGAGCGAUCUUGAGUUGCUUUGCACCCUCUUGGUUAGCGGCGGACGGGUGAGUAACACGUGGGCAACCUGCCUGUAAGACUGGGAUAACUUCGGGAAACCGGAGCUAAUACCGGAUAAUCCUUUUCCUCUCAUGAGGAAAAGCUGAAAGUCGGUUUACGCUGACACUUACAGAUGGGCCCGCGGCGCAUUAGCUAGUUGGUGAGGUAACGGCUCACCAAGGCGACGAUGCGUAGCCGACCUGAGAGGGUGAUCGGCCACACUGGGACUGAGACACGGCCCAGACUCCUACGGGAGGCAGCAGUAGGGAAUCUUCCGCAAUGGACGAAAGUCUGACGGAGCAACGCCGCGUGAGCGAUGAAGGCCUUCGGGUCGUAAAGCUCUGUUGUUAGGGAAGAACAAGUACCGGAGUAACUGCCGGUACCUUGACGGUACCUAACCAGAAAGCCACGGCUAACUACGUGCCAGCAGCCGCGGUAAUACGUAGGUGGCAAGCGUUGUCCGGAAUUAUUGGGCGUAAAGCGCGCGCAGGCGGUCCUUUAAGUCUGAUGUGAAAGCCCACGGCUCAACCGUGGAGGGUCAUUGGAAACUGGGGGACUUGAGUACAGAAGAGGAAAGCGGAAUUCCACGUGUAGCGGUGAAAUGCGUAGAGAUGUGGAGGAACACCAGUGGCGAAGGCGGCUUUCUGGUCUGUAACUGACGCUGAGGCGCGAAAGCGUGGGGAGCAAACAGGAUUAGAUACCCUGGUAGUCCACGCCGUAAACGAUGAGUGCUAAGUGUUAGAGGGUUUCCGCCCUUUAGUGCUGCAGCUAACGCAUUAAGCACUCCGCCUGGGGAGUACGGCCGCAAGGCUGAAACUCAAAGGAAUUGACGGGGGCCCGCACAAGCGGUGGAGCAUGUGGUUUAAUUCAAAGCAACGCGAAGAACCUUACCAGGUCUUGACAUCCUCUGACACUCCUAAAGAUAGGACGUUCCCCUUCGGGGAACAAAUGACAGGUGGUGCAUGGUUGUCCUCAGCUCCGGCCGGGAAAGGUGGGUUAAUUCCCCAACGAGGCCAACCCUUUGUCUUAGUGGCACAAUUCAG
Molecule: ribosomal RNA, 1094 nt
Filed under: Neobacillus sp.
Lineage: Bacteria; Bacillati; Bacillota; Bacilli; Caryophanales; Bacillaceae
Description: bacterial SSU rRNA
Rfam family: Bacterial small subunit ribosomal RNA
Source: RNAcentral